RNAcentral lists this ribosomal RNA (378 nucleotides) under uncultured eukaryote. RNAcentral describes it as "partial 18S ribosomal RNA". It matches the Rfam family "Eukaryotic small subunit ribosomal RNA", at positions 592 to 975 of the family's 1831-position model. The record is from RNAcentral.
CAACAGCGUAUAUUAAAGUUGUUGCAGUUAAAACGCUCGUAGUCGGAUUUCGGGGCGGGCGGGCCGGUCUGCCGAUGGGUAUGCACUGGUCUGGCCGUCCUUCCUUCCGGAGGCCGUGCGUGCUCUUACUGAGUGCGCUCGGGAGACGGAUCGUUUACUUUGAAAAAAUCAGAGUGUUUCAAGCAGGCAGCUCGCUCUUGCAUGGAUUAGCAUGGGAUAAUGAAAUAGGACUUUGGUGCUAUUUUGUUGGUUUCGAACACCGAAGUAAUGAUUAACAGGGACAGUCAGGGGCACUCGUAUUCCGCCGAGAGAGGUGAAAUUCUCAGACCAGCGGAAGACGAACCACUGCGAAAGCAUUUGCCAGGGAUGUUUUCACUG